UUGGGCAGAAAGCAGUGUGUUGUUUAGACUCUGAAUGGCCAGAUAGCUAGCAACAAUGACAAGAAGCUGCCAUGUGGUGAAUCGUCCCUGUGUUGGUGAUGAACAUCUGUUGCUGGGUAAGCCAGACUGCCAAGAUCCCCUUCUUCUCGCCUAGCUCACUCCCAAUGUCAUGAACAUUGCCAAGGAUGCACACGAAGGAGGGGCAGAUGGAGUCACUGCCACCAACACAGUGUCUGGAAUGAUGGGCCUGACAGCACUCCCUGGCCUGGCAUCGGCAAGGGCAAGCGCACCACCUAUGGAGGAA
Long non-coding RNA from Oncorhynchus nerka (sockeye salmon), 304 nucleotides. RefSeq lists it as uncharacterized. NCBI's taxonomy places the organism in Eukaryota, Metazoa, Chordata, Actinopteri, Salmoniformes, Salmonidae. The transcript is spliced from 3 exons. The record is from RefSeq and is a predicted model, not a curated record.